GCAGUACCUGCGGGUUGUAUCAGUACCUGAGAGAGACUGCAACUUGAGGGUGUCCAGUCCUCCGGCUGUCAACAGGAGUCUGUGGCAGAGGCAGGAGUUGAACCCAGGUCGCUAGCUCAGUGCCUUAGCCCCAAGACCGCCCAUUACGUGAGUGGAGAAGCAAGACGUGCGGCACCCCAGGCAUCCUCUAGAGAGCCGUCCUCGUCGCAGGCGCCGGAAGGUGGCAGCAGCCUGGCACCAACAACACGAGCUGGAAGAAGGAGGCACAGCCGAACUGGGCCCAGGACGAGAACGUCUGGAGGUAUCUCCAGAUCUUUGUCAUCACUUCGGAUUUCCAGUCACCCAGUUCUUAGAUCCUUGCUGUCCUCUGAAAUCUGCUGCCACUCCGACCCUCUCCCAUCCUUCCGUAUAGCCCAGCAGAACUUCCCCUGGGAGCAGGUGGCUCUGUGCUGUUGGAUGCACGUGGGCCGUUGCUUCCCAUCACACCUUUUAUUCUCACCUGAGGGUUUCCACCUUUUGAUGGCGUUCGCAGACGGGACAGAACUUUAACUCUACCAGGAAUGAAACCCGCUCCUUCGGUGCACAGGGGCUGAUGGGCUGUCAAUAUUGUAACCGUAGGGUUCCCGCCAACCCUGGGCUUGUGAUCACCCCCAGGACUGCUUGUGUUCAUUUCUUUCCCCCAUUUAAAACCAUUUUCGUGUAACCAGAGACCAAGGCGACAGCCCUGUUUGGCGAACUAACUUCUUCGGCGUGCUGCU
Molecule: non-coding RNA, 758 nt
Organism: Caretta caretta (loggerhead turtle)
Lineage: Eukaryota; Metazoa; Chordata; Testudines; Cheloniidae
Source: RefSeq, a predicted model, not a curated record